UAAAAAGCUCGCUAGUUGGAUCUCGGCGGGCAGGGGGUGGUUCGCUCUUCAGCGCUACUGCCCCGCUUUGCCCGUGUGAUUGGCGGAGGUUUCGGGGUGCUCUUCGUUGAGUGACUCGGAGCGCCGUCAGGUUUACUUUGAAAAAAUUAGAGUGCUCAAAGCAGGCUUUUCACGCUUGAAUAUUCGUGCAUGGAAUAAUGGAAUAGGAACUCGUUUCUAUUUUGUUGGUUUUCGGAAAUCGAGUUAAUGAUUAACAGGGACAAUUGGGGGCAUUAGUAUUCAGACGACAGAGGUGAAAUUCUUGGACCGUCUGAAGACUGACUACUGCGAAAGCAUUUGCCAAGAGUGUUUUCAUUAAUCAAGAACGAAAGUUAGAGGUUCGAAGGCGAUCAGAUACCGCCCUAGUUCUAACCAUAAACGAUGCCAGCUAGCGAUCUGCCGAGUUUUUUUUGUAGGCUCCGCAGGAAGCUUUCGGGAAACCAAAGCUUUUGGGUUCCGGGGGAAGUAUGGUUGCAAAGCUGAAACUUAAAGGAAUUGACGGAAGGGCACCACCAGGAGUGGAGCCUGCGGCUUAAUUUGACUCAACACGGGAAAUCUCACCAGGCCCGGACACUGGAAGGAUUGACAGAUUGAGAGCUCUUUCUCGAUUCGGUGGGUGGUGGUGCAUGGCCGUUCUUAGUUGGUGGAGUGAUUUGUCUGGUUAAUUCCGAUAACGAACGAGACU
This 724-nucleotide ribosomal RNA is filed under the name uncultured marine eukaryote. Its description in RNAcentral is "SSU rRNA". It matches the Rfam family "Eukaryotic small subunit ribosomal RNA", at positions 620 to 1342 of the family's 1831-position model. The record is from RNAcentral.